RNAcentral lists this ribosomal RNA (345 nucleotides) under uncultured bacterium. Its description in RNAcentral is "bacterial SSU rRNA". It matches the Rfam family "Bacterial small subunit ribosomal RNA", at positions 417 to 753 of the family's 1533-position model. The record is from RNAcentral.
UUCGGGUUGUAAAGCUCUUUCGGCCGGNCAAGAAAUCGCGUUGGCUAAUACCCAGCGUGGAUGACGGUACCGGAAUAAGAAGCACCGGCUAACUACGUGCCAGCAGCCGCGGUAAUACGUAGGGUGCGAGCGUUAAUCGGAAUUACUGGGCGUAAAGCGUGCGCAGGCGGUUUUUUAAGAUAGGCGUGAAAUCCCCGGGCUCAACCUGGGAACUGCGCUUAUGACUGGAAGACUAGAGUAUGGCAGAGGGGGGUGGAAUUCCACGUGUAGCAGUGAAAUGCGUAGAGAUGUGGAGGAACACCGAUGGCGAAGGCAGCCCCCUGGGCCAAUACUGACGCUCAUGCA